This 64-nucleotide non-coding RNA is filed under the name Corynebacterium humireducens. The record is from RNAcentral. Lineage: Bacteria; Bacillati; Actinomycetota; Actinomycetes; Mycobacteriales; Corynebacteriaceae.
AUCAGCCCGGGGGUCCGGGCCCGGACGAGGGAGCCGUACCCGGCGUUGCGACAAGACGGCCAGG